Molecule: ribosomal RNA, 316 nt
Filed under: Salmonella enterica subsp. enterica serovar Infantis
Lineage: Bacteria; Pseudomonadati; Pseudomonadota; Gammaproteobacteria; Enterobacterales; Enterobacteriaceae
Description: bacterial SSU rRNA
Rfam family: Bacterial small subunit ribosomal RNA
Source: RNAcentral
UUAAAUUGAAGAGUUUGAUCAUGGCUCAGAUUGAACGCUGGCGGCAGGCCUAACACAUGCAAGUCGAACGGUAACAGGAAGCAGCUUGCUGCUUUGCUGACGAGUGACGGGCGGGUGAGUAAUGUCUGGGAAACAGCCUGAUGGAGGGGGGUAACUACAGGAAACGGUGGGUAAUACCGCAUAACGUCGCCAGACCAAAGAGGGGGACCUUCGGGACUCUUGCCAUCAGAUGUGCCUAGGUGGGAAUAGCUUGUUGGUGAGGGAAAGGCUCACGAAGGCGACGAUCCCGAGCUGGUCUGAGAGGAUGAACAGCCAC